Long non-coding RNA from Papaver somniferum (opium poppy), 3823 nucleotides. RefSeq lists it as uncharacterized. Lineage: Eukaryota; Viridiplantae; Streptophyta; Magnoliopsida; Ranunculales; Papaveraceae. The record is from RefSeq and is a predicted model, not a curated record. The transcript has 2 exons.
AACAUGCCUCAUUUCUUGCAGCUUCUGUCUUUGUUUUCCGCCGCUCAACUCUUUAUCCGCCAUCAAGUGCUUACCUACGCGACGAAACUUAUCCUCCGAGCAGCUUCGUUCUUUCCGCUUGCAUACCCCGGAUCGCACUAGCAAUCGCUUCAUCAACCUCCGAUUACAUCGAGUUACAUCAACACCACCUCCCAAAUCCUUGCUCGACGACCACUACCGAAACAAACACCGAGCUAUCUACACAAUCCAGAAGAGAAAAAUGGCAGUAGAGAGAAAAUCUCAAACAAACUGAUACCAGAAUCAAAUCUUUCAGAGCUGAAAGGAACUUUCAUCAAUCAAUAUUCUAACUCAUCUGCUCUAGAAUCUCGAAAUAUCAAGAGGGUUUUGAAGAAAACCUCACUGGCGUACGAACGACGCUCUCCUGAAGAACAGCUUUGUGUCGGUGACGAAAAAAUUCUCAUCAGAAGUAACUGAUUCUAAGAGAUUCAUGAACAAAAGCGACAAAAGAUAAGUAUCUCACUCCUGAUACUCUUUAUUUUGAUCGCAAUCUUCAAGUUUUUAACAGGAAGACGAUUUAAAGAAAUCUAGGGUUUGUAAAUAAAAACCUAAAAUCUGUUUCCCAUAUUGAUAAUUUGAUUCAUUUCUUAAUUAGAUUACAGAUCUAUAAUCUAUUCAUCUUAAUCUAUCUUCUGAGAGAAAAAAUCUCACAAAACUUCAGACAAUUUUUCAUGAGUUCUUGAUGAAAUAUUGAUCAAACUUUUGAUCUAUUAUCUUGAUUAAAAAUCGAUCUCUAGAUUCGUAUUCAGUAUCUUUGGGUUUACAUUACCCAUAUAAUCAAUUUCAUUUUCAUGAAAUUUUAUUUUCGGAUCUUAUAUUGAACUUAUGACUGUUCUUAUGAAGUUUAAUGAUUUUAAAUCAGACUAUAUUGACUAUUGAGCUGUUUAAUAAAGUUACACUGAGAUAAACGUGCUUUUAAUAGCAAGAAUUUGUAAUCUAAUUCUGUUAAUGACUCUUUAAAAAUUGUUUUUAACAGUACCACCAUUAAUGGGGGAGUUGUUAUGUCAAAAAGGCAACAGAGGUGAAUUCUCCAAAGAGCAACUAUUGCAAACUCAUCAAGCUUUACAGUUACGGAAUCAAAAUACAGAGCUGCAGAGUCUCAAGUAGACAAGGCAUAAAUGAACAAGAUCAACACAUACUGGAGCUAUAUCAAGUUUAAACACAAUCUGGUUGUGAAUGAUGAAGAGUUACAGCACCCAAAGCUUCUAUGAAAGAGGCCGACAAGUCGUACAAAAACAUCCAAAUGAUGUGAACAACAUCAACUCCAAAGAUCGUGAAUAAAGCUAAGUGCACAUCUAUCUCAAUCUUGAAUUAUCCUUUAAUGCUUGUUUAUAAAUGCAAAUCUGUGAAAUUCACUUAAUAUGUUUAAACUAAAAAUCUUGCUCGAAAGUUGUAGCUGACUCAUAGUGUCAAUCCCUAACUAAGAUCUUUUAGAGCCUGUGAGUUUAAAUUCGUCUAGACUGAUCUGAUGCAUUGGUAUAGCUUACAAUAAAUCUGUUGAGCAUCGUAUAAAGCUCCUCAUAAGCAUGAUAGUUUAAUGACCUGUUCUGCAUACAAAAAGAGCAUGAAUUGCUUGUUGACAUGAAUGAUUUUGAACAUUCCUGAGUUUGAAUAAUUCAUAUAGAAACAACUCUUAAGGAGCAUAAAAUGAUUAUCCUCUAUCAGAUACGCCUGAUAAGGUAAAAUCCUCGAUUAAUUUUCUAGCAUUUCAAUUUUCUAUGAAUAUUAUUGUGUAAUAGUCAGCUUAGUAAUGUACAAUAUCUCAAAUAUUGUAGACCUGUGAGUAGCACAAACAAAAUGUACUUGCUUGAAAUUAUCUGUGUACAACCUUUUGAGCUUUCAAUCUCAGAAACCUAAGGGAUCUGACUGUCAUUGCAAAGUUGUAAGGAGCUUGGAACAACUGUGCACCGCUUAACGUCACAGCAACACCCUUCAUCCAUAGCUGACUGCCCAAAAUGCUUCUGCCCUGCUAUCCGACUCAUCAAAGACUAAGAGUUGUCCGGAGUUAUCACUUGAGGAAUCGCACUUCAACUCCAACCGCCGCUUAUCAAUGGCCAGCGUAAAGCUCAUCAUCAACAUUCAAAUGCAUCAACGCUACUUUUUCCCAUCCCCGCUCUUGCCUACAGGACCAUGGAUAGCACACUGAAAGGGGACUAAACUUAUCUCUCUAUGCUUAAUCGCUUUAAUAAUUUCUUUUUGACUUACUCCAUGGCUUGCAUCACACUUUGACAGACGCAUGCAUGUCAUAAUCCUUUAUAUUUAACAAGUAAUACUAAUCAUAUACUACCAUGAAUCCUUUAAGCUUGCCAAGCUGUCAAUCAGCAAAUUCCCGCGUCUUUCAUUAUGUUAUUCCGGACAUGUUCAAACUUCAUUUUGAUUGAACUAACUCUAGUAGCCUGGUUUAAUGUGUCAGGAAGAGAGAUGUGAUAUGAAGCAGUAAAGUUCAAAAGGGGAAAUAACAGCCUCUGUUGGAUGUUAACUUAAGCUACAGCAAGCCUAUGUUUCAAAGUAAGCUUCAGCAGAAAUCUACAUACUCUUUUGUCACUUAAAGAAGAGCGCUCAGCUCCAACCACCGUGCACCGAUGAUGGCAAAUACAAGCAACUUCAAAUAUGUAAGAUCGAGGGACUAAUGCAAAUAGGCGAGCUCUAGCCCCAACUGCAGCAGUAAAAGCUCAAAGGAAAUCAUGGCAAAGCCAUUUCUCUGCUGCAAUACAGGUACGAGAUGAACUCUCAAAGAACAACACUCAACCUCAGAACCAUCUGUGAACGGAUACUGAAUCACAAUAAACACACCAAGAGGUCAAUUGCCUGAACUCCACAGUUCUCUAGCACCAGUUUUGUCUACCAGCUGACGAGAAUUAUCCGCCAAACACUGGCAAAUUCCCACAAGGCUAGCUCUAGUCGAGCAUUAGCAACUUGUUAUGCCAUGUCUCCUGUCACUCAAUGAAGAGCGCUCCGGCCCAACUGCCGCGUAUCAAUGACCAGUCACCAUCCCCAAUAGAACUGGAAGCGAGUAGCAGCUAACAAACAUGGAUAGCACACUCUACAGCAAGCCUUGGUGUAAAUAGAAAGUGUGCUUCACAAUAGCCGACAACUGCCUGGUACCCCUGAAAAUCGAUGGUACUGCUAAUGUUCCUCAUUUCACCAAAAGCCUUUCUCAGAGAGAAGAAAAUCAACAUCAAACCGAUGAAGCUGAUUACACUCCCACAGUGCAUAGUUGACUACUCAAACUACUGCUGCUUCAUCAACCGCGGCUGUCCUAACAAGAUCAGAGUUAACAAUCAUCAUAGCCAUGGGUACUGUGAUCUCGUCAGUGCUACUCGACUGCACCAACUUCAGUCGGUGAGAAUUAUAAAUUCGAAGGGCGAUUAGGAUAAAGAAGAGCAUCUUCGGCUAGCUGUCACAACAGAGCUGCUAAGAGGAAACAAUUAGAUGAGCGCGUCACAUGUGCUUAAUGUCAAACACCAUAGAGAAGAACUUAACCACCCACAAGUACAAUGACUUUAGCCCACAUGUCCGGAUGUGUUUGUUUAGCAUGAAAAACAUUUAUGGGAGACCUUGUCCCAUCUCAUGUAUGUAGUGUAUUAAACCAAGGAGUGUCAGGGAUAGCGCCUAUUUGUGCAUUUAUACUUGAGUUCCAUAAAGCCCGUAUAUGUUAUCCAAUCGCAUGUGUGAACUACAUACAUAGAAUAUACAUAGAAUACAUGUGUCAUAUUGUAUUGAACUUUAGAAAUUUUAAAUAUGAUCAUACUAUGAAUUGAGAAUA